UUUUUUUUUUGACAUUUCUCAACUGAAUUUGUACAUGCAAGUUCCACAUCUCUAAGAUAGAAAUAUUGAAAUCGUAAUCCGUGAUGAGCAGGACCAAAAUGUCAUCCAUACCCAUGAGGAUAUCCCAAGAAAAGAAGCAAUGGCUAGAAAAGAGAAGGCAACACAUGUAUACAAUGGAAAGGAAAAUUCACGGGCAGAAGCUGAUAAUGUGAUAUCAAAAGUGGCAUUGGCACAACAUGCACAACGAAAACAAGAAAGAAUUUUAAAGCAAGGCUAGCGACCUAGCUAGUGUCUUCAAGCUGGUAAUGUGAUAUCAAAAGUAGCAUUGGCGCAACGUGCACGACGAGAACAAGAAUGAAUAUUUAAACA
Molecule: long non-coding RNA, 369 nt
Organism: Rhododendron vialii
Lineage: Eukaryota; Viridiplantae; Streptophyta; Magnoliopsida; Ericales; Ericaceae
Exons: 3
Source: RefSeq, a predicted model, not a curated record